CCAAAAGAAGUCUUCCUCCGUAAGAAUUUGGGAAGGAAGUCGAUUCCUUGUUGGAAUGGCCUUGCUGAGCCAAAACGGAUUUGUUAGAAGCUGUCGGCCAAGUAGUUUGCUACCGUCUAGAAUUCUAAAUUGGCUUUGGGAUUGAUCAAUCAUGGUUGAUAUAGGACAAGUCUUGUGGGCCACGAGAGAGUCAUGUUGGAAAUUGAAGCAACCGAAGCUUGUCUGAUGAUGCACGGUGGACUUGAAGCUUUGGCAUGUUUUGACUCUG
This 268-nucleotide long non-coding RNA is filed under the name Coffea arabica (coffee). RNAcentral describes it as "long non-coding RNA (CARA_LNC004141)". Lineage: Eukaryota; Viridiplantae; Streptophyta; Magnoliopsida; Gentianales; Rubiaceae. The record is from RNAcentral.